RNAcentral lists this long non-coding RNA (425 nucleotides) under Rattus norvegicus (Norway rat). RNAcentral's name for it is "long non-coding RNA NONRATT026738". The record is from RNAcentral. Lineage: Eukaryota; Metazoa; Chordata; Mammalia; Rodentia; Muridae.
UUUCUACAUUAGUAAAGCUUACCAUCUCUAUUCUUAGUCCUCUACUUUAUAUAGGUGAGUUCAUGAAAUCAAGAAGUCAUCCCUAUAUUUAGUCAGUAGAACUAUCGGAACGUUUACUUUGAAUAGUCAAACGAAGCAUGUGCUAUUUUGCACAGGUUAGAUGAUUACUACUUGUUUCAAUGUGUACCUAGGCAGCAUUCUCUUAUUCAGAAAUACAUGGAGAGGUACAAUCUUGAAAGAGAAGCAGGGCUGGAGAGAUGGCUCAGUGGUUAAGAGCACCAACUGCUCUUCCAGAGGUCCAGAGUCCAAUUCCCAGCAACCACAUGGUGGCUCACAGCCGUCUGUAAUGGGAUCUCAUGCCCUCUUCUGGUGAGUCUGAAGAUUGCUACAGUGUACUCAAAAAAAAAAAAGAAAAAAAAAAAAAG